This 1021-nucleotide long non-coding RNA is filed under the name Fragaria vesca (wild strawberry). RNAcentral describes it as "long non-coding RNA (FVES_LNC005661)". The record is from RNAcentral. Lineage: Eukaryota; Viridiplantae; Streptophyta; Magnoliopsida; Rosales; Rosaceae.
AUGGGAGUAUAUGUAGGUCUCACUAGUUAUAGAGCGCCUAAGCCGAUUGAUGGAAAAUCAUCAUCAAUACAGUCAUCGAGUGCCUUAUCGAGACCAUGUCUUUCCAAGAUCUUUUUAUUCGGAUGUUGAUACAGAUUGGCAUCUCUUGAUCCAUCAAGAGUCCAUGUAAAUCCGGAAUGAACACGCAAAGGCAUAAUUCACCAUAUCCCUUCCAAAUCAAAUAGAGUCUAUGUGCGUUUCAAUACAUUUAGCAAACGCAUGCUCCUGUGGUUUGGAGCCACUUGAUUCGGAUGAAUGAAGUCCGUUUAAGAUCUUCAUGUAUAUCUCUGAUCCCAUAGAGAUGUUAUUAUGACCACAUUCAUAGGCUGCUUGUUCAGUUAUUUGGAAACUACCAAACUAACAAAGUAGUGGAGUUCAAUGACAUUCAUUACGAGAGCAUAUCUCAUCGUAGUUGAUCCCAGUGCGUGUUAGUGAAAGACCUUGCGCCAUAAGGUGAGUCUAAGCUCUUACUCUCACUACACUAUCUAACAAAGGCAUAGUUGAUAGGGUUUAGCUUGCGGUGUCGGCAUCACCUGCCCACGGACCUAUCUCUUUGUUAAUGCUGGAUCGCAUCUUUCCAUUAGGCCAAUCAACUAAGUUGAUAUCCAUCAACGAAGGGUGGUUCGAUAGUAGACUCAUUAUCUCACGUCCUCAUGUACACUAGUGUAAUACUUGUAGAGAUCUCUAUAUGGAUUGGAUUUGACAUUGAGGUGUCCCCCAACGAUAAUCACAAUUCAGACUUCAUGAGACGGAUUUGAGUAUCACUGAUCAAUGGAUCAGGUUGUGCCAAGCUCGCUUUCUUUCUAGUGCAAGACAAUAUCGAACCUAAGGGCCUCCCUCCUUUUAGGGAGCCACACGGCCUUGUGACACCAAUUUUGCCACUAUAUGGCGUCACCAUAUCACCAUCCAUGGUGAUGGCGUCAAGACCAACACUUUUUGGUCGCGCCAUGUCCUUUUGUAGGACAUCAAUCCUUGCAGACAU